This 427-nucleotide ribosomal RNA is filed under the name uncultured bacterium. RNAcentral describes it as "bacterial SSU rRNA". It matches the Rfam family "Bacterial small subunit ribosomal RNA", at positions 355 to 774 of the family's 1533-position model. The record is from RNAcentral.
UGGGGAAUUUUGGACAAUGGGCGCAAGCCUGAUCCAGCAAUGCCGCGUGCAGGAUGAAGGCCUUCGGGUUGUAAACUGCUUUUGUCAGGGAAGAAACGAGUUUCUCUAAUACAGAGACUUAAUGACGGUACCUGAAGAAUAAGCACCGGCUAACUACGUGCCAGCAGCCGCGGUAAUACGUAGGGUGCAAGCGUUAAUCGGAAUUACUGGGCGUAAAGCGUGCGCAGGCGGUUAUAUAAGACAGAUGUGAAAUCCCCGGGCUCAACCUGGGACCUGCAUUUGUGACUGUAUAGCUAUAGUACGGUAGAGGGGGAUGGAAUUCCGAGUGUAGCAGUGAAAUGCGUAGAUAUGCGGAGGAACACCGAUGGCGAAGGCAAUCCCCUGGACCUGUACUGACGCUCAUGCACGAAAGCGUGGGGAGCAAACA